This 475-nucleotide ribosomal RNA is filed under the name uncultured cyanobacterium. RNAcentral's name for it is "bacterial SSU rRNA". It matches the Rfam family "Bacterial small subunit ribosomal RNA", at positions 355 to 845 of the family's 1533-position model. The record is from RNAcentral. Lineage: Bacteria; Bacillati; Cyanobacteriota.
UGAGGAAUUUUCCGCAAUGGGCGAAAGCCUGACGGAGCAAUGCCGCGUGAAGGAUGAAGGCCUGUGGGUUGUAAACUUCUUUUCUCAGAGACGAAGUUUUGACGGUAUCUGAGGAAUAAGCAUCGGCUAACUCUGUGCCAGCAGCCGCGGUAAGACAGAGGAUGCAAGCGUUAUCCGGAAUGAUUGGGCGUAAAGCGUCUGUAGGUGGCUUUCCAAGUCUUUUGUCAAAUCCCAGAGCUUAACUUUGGAUAGGCACGAGAAACUCGAGAGCUUGAGUACGGUAGGGGCAGAGGGAAUUCCCGGUGUAGCGGUGAAAUGCGUAGAGAUCGGGAAGAACACCGAUGGCGAAAGCACUCUGCUGGGCCGUUACUGACACUGAGAGACGAAAGCUAAGGGAGCGAAUGGGAUUAGAUACCCCAGUAGUCUUAGCCGUAAACGAUGGAGACUAAGUGCUUGUGCGUUGAUUUUAUCAACG